Molecule: ribosomal RNA, 769 nt
Filed under: uncultured bacterium
Lineage: Bacteria
Description: bacterial SSU rRNA
Rfam family: Bacterial small subunit ribosomal RNA
Source: RNAcentral
AUUGAACGCUGGCGGCAGGCCUAACACAUGCAAGUCGAGCGGCAGCGACUUAACUGAACCUUCGGGGAAUGUUAAGGGCGGCGAGCGGCGGACGGGUGAGUAAUGCCUGGGAAUAUGCCCUGAUGUGGGGGAUAACUAUUGGAAACGAUAGCUAAUACCGCAUAAUCUCUUCGGAGCAAAGAGGGGGACCUUCGGGCCUCUCGCGUCAGGAUUAGCCCAGGUGGGAUUAGCUUGUUGGUGAGGUAAUGGCUCACCAAGACAACGAUCCCUAGCUGGUCUGAGAGGAUGAUCAGCCACACUGGAACUGAGACACGGUCCAGACUCCUACGGGAGGCAGCAGUGGGGAAUAUUGCACAAUGGGGGAAACCCUGAUGCAGCCAUGCCGCGUGUGUGAAGAAGGCCUUCGGGUUGUAAAGCACUUUCAGUAGGGAGGAAGGUAGUGUAGUUAACACCUGCAUUAUUUGACGUUACCUACAGAAGAAGCACCGGCUAACUCCGUGCCAGCAGCCGCGGUAAUACGGAGGGUGCGAGCGUUAAUCGGAAUUACUGGGCGUAAAGCGCAUGCAGGCGGCCUGUUAAGUCAGAUGUGAAAGCCCGGGGCUUAACCUCGGAAUUGCAUUUGAAACUGGCAGGCUAGAGUCUUGUAGAGGGGGGUAGAAUUUCAGGUGUAGCGGUGAAAUGCGUAGAGAUCUGAAGGAAUACCAGUGGCGAAGGCGGCCCCCUGGACAAAGACUGACGCUCAGAUGCGAAAGCGUGGGGAGCAAACAGG